GAUGAACACUGGCGGCGUGCCUAAUACAUGCAAGUCGAGCGAACAGAUGAGGAGCUUGCUCCUCUGACGUUAGCGGCGGACGGGUGAGUAACACGUGGAUAACCUACCUAUAAGACUGGGAUAACUUCGGGAAACCGGAGCUAAUACCGGAUAAUAUAUUGAACCGCAUGGUUCAAUAGUGAAAGACGGUUUUGCUGUCACUUAUAGAUGGAUCCGCGCCGCAUUAGCUAGUUGGUAAGGUAACGGCUUACCAAGGCAACGAUGCGUAGCCGACCUGAGAGGGUGAUCGGCCACACUGGAACUGAGACACGGUCCAGACUCCUACGGGAGGCAGCAGUAGGGAAUCCUCCGCAAUGGGCGAAAGCCUGACGGAGCAACGCCGCGUGAGUGAUGAAGGUCUUCGGAUCGUAAAACUCUGUUAUUAGGGAAGAACAAAUGUGUAAGUAACUAUGCACGUCUUGACGGUACCUAAUCAGAAAGCCACGGCUAACUACGUG
RNAcentral lists this ribosomal RNA (497 nucleotides) under uncultured bacterium. RNAcentral describes it as "partial 16S ribosomal RNA". It matches the Rfam family "Bacterial small subunit ribosomal RNA", at positions 28 to 507 of the family's 1533-position model. The record is from RNAcentral.